GGUGGACUGAAUUAGCCUUCAUCAUGAGGGAGGUCAGGAGGGCUGAGGGGGAACAAAAUGGUGGACUGGAAAAGCCUUCAUCAUGAGGGAGGUCAGGAGGGCUGAGGGGGAACAAAAUGGUGGACUAAAAAGCCUUCAUCAUGAGGGAGGUCAGGAGGGCUGAGGGGGAACAAAAUGGUGGACUGAAAAAGCCUUCAUCAUGAGGGAGGUCAGGAGGGCUGAGGGGGAACAAAAUGGUGGACUGAAUUAGCCUUCAUCAUGAGGGAGGUCAGGAGGGCUGAGGGGGAACAAAAUGGUGGACUGAAUUAGCCUUCAUCAUGAGGGAGGUCAGGAGGGCUGAGGGGGAACAAAAUGGUGGACUGAAAAAGCCUUCAUCAGUUGUUAUAAAGACUGACACUACAAGCUUCCUGUUGGUUGACAGACCCAUUGCUUCACCAAUGAAGUUUGUAUUAAAGGCUGUGUGUUCCAACUGGCUGCCUAUUCCCUAAAUAAUGCACUUCCUAUGGCUCUGGUCAAAAGUAGUGCACUAUAUAGGGAUUAGGGUGCCAGUUGGCUGAAAGCUCCAAGUAUGGGAAGCAUUGAUAAAGGGGGGGACAGGUCAGGGGUCUGGGAAGCAUUGGUAAAGGGGGGGGACAGGUCAGGGGUCUGGGAAGCAUUGGUAAAGGGGGGACAGGACAGGGGUCUGGGAAACAUUGGUAAAGGGGGGACAGGACAUGGGAAACAUUGAUAAAGGGGACAGGACAGGGGUCUGGGAAACAUUGGUAAAGGGGGGACAGGACAUGGGAAACACUGGUAAAAGGGGGGACAGGACAUGGGAAACACUGGUAAAGGGGGGACAGAACAUGGGAAACACUGGUAAAGGGGGGACAGGACAUGGGAAACACUGGUAAAGGGGAGGACAGGACAUGGGAAACACUGGUAAAGGGGAGACAGGACAUGGGAAACACUGGUAAAGGGGGGACAGGACAUGGGAAACACUGGUAAAGGGGGGCCAGGACAUGGGAAACAUCUGUAAAGGGGGACAGGACAUGGGAAACACUGGUAAAGGGGGGACAGGACAUGGGAAACACUGGUAAAGGGGGACUUGGGGUCUGGGAAACACUGGUAAAGGGGGGAUAGGACAGGGGUCUGGGAAACACUGGUAAAGGGCAGGACUUGGGAUCUGGGAAACACUGGUAAAGGGGGGACAGGGGUCUGGGAAACAUUGGUAAAGGGGGACAGGACAUGGGAAACAUUGAUAAUGGGGGGACAGGACAGGGGUCUGGGAAACACUGGUAAAGGGGGGACUUGGCGUCUGGGAAACACUGGUAAAGGGGGGACUUGGGGUCUGGGAAACACUGGUAAAGGGGAGGACUUGGGGUCUGGGAAACACUGGUAAAGGGGAGGACUUGGGGUCUGGGAAACACUGGUAAAGGGGAGGACUUGGAGUCUGGGAAACACUGGUAAAGGGGGGACUUGGGGUCUGGGAAACACUGGUAAAGGAGAGGACUUGGGAAACAUUGGUAAAUGGGAGGACUUGGGGUCUGGGAAACACUGGUAAAGGGGAGGACUUGGGGUCUGGGAAACACUGGUAAAUGGGAGGACUUGGAGUCUGGGAAACAUUGGUAAAUGGGAGGACUUGGGGUCUGGGAAACACUGGUAAAGGAGAGGACUUGGGAAACAUUGGUAAAUGGGAGGACUUGGGGUCUGGGAAACACUGGUAAAGGGGAGGACUUGGGAAACAUUGGUAAAUGGGAGGACUUGGGGUCUGGGAAACAUUGGUAAAUGGGAGGACUUGGGGUCUGGGAAACAUUGGUAAAUGGGAGGACUUGGGGUCUGGGAAACACUGGUAAAGGGGAGGACUUGGGAAACACUGGUAAAGGGGAGGACUUGGGAAACAUUGGUAAAUGGGAGGACUUGGGGUCUGGGAAACAUUGGUAAAAACUUGG
This is a long non-coding RNA of Oncorhynchus tshawytscha (Chinook salmon), 1928 nucleotides long. The record is from Ensembl. NCBI's taxonomy places the organism in Eukaryota, Metazoa, Chordata, Actinopteri, Salmoniformes, Salmonidae.